GAUCCUGGCUCAGGACGAACGCUGGCGGCGUGCCUAACACAUGCAAGUCGAACGGACGAAGGAGCUUCGGCUCCCUAGUUAGUGGCGAACGGGUGAGUAACGCGUGAGCAACCUGCCUUUCAGAGGGGGACAACAGCUGGAAACGGCUGCUAAUACCGCAUAACAUGAUUUAGCCGCAUGACUGGAUCAUCAAAGAUUUAUCGCUGAAAGAUGGGCUCGCGUCUGAUUAG
RNAcentral lists this ribosomal RNA (230 nucleotides) under uncultured bacterium. RNAcentral describes it as "partial 16S ribosomal RNA". It matches the Rfam family "Bacterial small subunit ribosomal RNA", at positions 15 to 244 of the family's 1533-position model. The record is from RNAcentral.